Molecule: long non-coding RNA, 1088 nt
Filed under: Pan paniscus (pygmy chimpanzee)
Lineage: Eukaryota; Metazoa; Chordata; Mammalia; Primates; Hominidae
Description: lncRNA (ENSPPAG00000044239.1)
Source: RNAcentral
AUGUUAAUGCCAACAAUUAACAUGAACAUAAAAUGGUCUAAUUGUAGGAAAUCUGAAAAAGAGAAGACAAACAAAGAAACUGAGACAGAAAGUGGAAAUGAAAACUCCGGCUACAAUUCAGAUGAACAAAAGACCACAGAAACUGCUUCUCUCCCUCCCAAAUCCUGUGAAUCCAGUGAUCCUGAACAAAGAAACAGUAGCUGUGGCCCUCCUCACCAGGUUUUAAUUUAUUCAUGGCAGAUGACCUCACAGCAUGUUGCCCAUCUGGCAGAGCUACCUUGGAGCAAUUUUAAUCCGCGGAGCUUAAAGCCGUUUGAUCUCCCUCAUACUUUCCAUUCUCAGAGGCUGAGUAAUUCAAGUAAGACGUACCAGUUCAAUUUUCCUCCCAGGGAAAGAAAGGAAAUGACCUUUCUGGAAAAAAGUAGGAGAACAUCUCAGAGGGAGGUUUUGGGGAGAAAAAAAUCACAAGGUUACAAAGAACUCAACAAGGGCAGUAGAAAAUCAUUGUCCUCCACCACAAAGCUCUGCCAACAUGAUGACUGUAAAGUCACGAUGGCAAGAGAACCCUUUCUUUCCCCUUCCUGGGAACAAUUUUAUUUGACCUCUAGAAACUUUUUGCAAGGGGCAAAAAUCCAUCUGGACUUAGAGGUGAGCAGCAGAAGCUAUUUCCACCUGCAUUCGGAAAGCCAAGCUCUAUGGGGACAGGGCAGGAGCAAGCCGAGAAAGACAUUCGUGUGUAGAGUUUCAAAGUCUUCCAAAAAUGACCAAGACCAACCAAAAGCCUGCGGACACCUUCCCCUUCUGCGGGGGUCUGACGCCCUUCCUUUCAAAGAUGUUAAUAAUUCAGUCCACAGAUGGGCCACUGUCUCAUGCCAAAUAACUUGCCCUCCUUAAAUCCAGAGCACCGGCAGGCAGGUGUUGGGUGUGGCUGCCCUUGCACCCAAGUUUUCCAAAAUGAGAAGAGAAGAGUGUGGGCAAAGGUAUAUUUUUAUCUUCACCCCUUUUCUCAACUUCAAGAAAUAAUUAUUGAGGCCUUUUAAAAACACAUUAAUUCCCUUGUCUGAAUAGAGAUUGAAAUUUGUUAACUG